Molecule: ribosomal RNA, 253 nt
Filed under: uncultured bacterium
Lineage: Bacteria
Description: partial 16S ribosomal RNA
Rfam family: Bacterial small subunit ribosomal RNA
Source: RNAcentral
UACGGAGGGUGCAAGCGUUAUCCGGAAUUACUGGGUUUAAAGGGCGCGUAGGCGGCCUGCUAAGUCGGACGUGAAAUCCCUCGGCUCAACUUGGGAACUGCGUCUGAUACUGGUUGGCUUGAAUUCGGGAGAGGGAUGCAGAAUUCCAGGUGUAGCGGUGAAAUGCGUAAAUAUCUGGAGGAAUACCGGUGGCGAAGGCGGCAUCCUGGACCGAGAUUGACACUGAUGAGCGAAAGCCAGGGGAGCAAACGGG